CUCCCCCUCUCUCUGCCCCUCCGCCGCUUGUGCGUUCACUCUCUCUCUCUCAAAAAUAAAUAAAUACACAUUUUUUUUUAAAUGGAGGCUGAGGGAGGGAGGUUUGACUACAGAAGAGGAGAAGGCGGGGAGAGGAGAGAGAGAGUGACAGAAACAGACUGGAGGGACACACUUAGCAGACCUAAGGAAGGGGCCACAAGCCACGGAAUGCAGGUGAUCACGGGAAGCUGCGAGAGGCAAGGACACAUCAUCUCCCGGAAGCUUCCAGCAGGAACCGGCCCUGCCAGCACCUUGGCUUUAACCCAUCAAGACGGAUUUCAGACUUCUGACCUCCAGAACUGUAAGAGAAUACAUGUGUGUGGUUUUAAGCCGCGAAGCUUGUCAUAAUUUGUUACGGUGGCCAGAGGAAAUGAAUGUGGGUGCUGUGUGGGGGACAGCCCCGGGAGGGUGAGGCCGGAGCAGGGGGCCCGGCUUGGAGGCUACUGCAAUGGUCCAGGCAGGAAAUGAGCAGGGACCCAAGGAAGGGGCGGGAUCCGAGGGAGACUUCAGGAGCCAGAACGGGCAGCUUUGCUGACGGACUGGACACUUAGCGGGCAGGAAGGAGAGAGUCAGGGUCUCUGGCUCCCUCAGUCAUCCCCUGGCCGGGGCCCGGGACGGAGAGCUGGCCCCGCGUGGCUCCUGCUCUAAGGGAGGAUUCAGCUGCACGAGGCCCAGGAAUAGUUACAAGGUGAUGGGAGGGACCGGGCUCGGCUGCCCCAGGACCUUUCGUCUUACACCCUUCAGGCCUCUGCCCCGCUGUCCCGGCUUCAGAGAGGCCUCCCUGACCACCCUGUCUCAGAGAGCCCCUCCUGCUCUCUCUCCCUCCCCCUGCUUUAGUUUGCUCUGUGUAUCUUCCUGUCACUCUGUGUGCUACCUGUCUGUUUCUUUGCCGGCUGGCUUCCGUGCUCCGUGGUCGGCCCAUGAGAAGGACUCCAUCCAACUUCUCCAGCACCGACACGAGUGUGUGCAGUGAAUGAACGAAUCUCCAUUUUCCAAGAGGGACACUAAGGAAAGCUAUAGCAAAGGAAGCGACACUCUCAGGGUCACGCGGUUGCUAAGUGUGGGGUCAGGAUCUGAACCAGGACGCAAAUUCCAAAGUUUGCGUAAGUAGCCUACCUCCCAACCCCAGUGAGGCUGCCUGCAGUCCGGGAAUUUCC
Molecule: long non-coding RNA, 1196 nt
Filed under: Lynx pardinus (Iberian lynx)
Lineage: Eukaryota; Metazoa; Chordata; Mammalia; Carnivora; Felidae
Source: RNAcentral